ACGUCUAUACCUUUAAAGUGUAGAUCAGUUGACUGUCAUACUUCCAAGAAAAGCUCGAACUACUGCAAAACAUCACGUACCUGUACCGUAAACCGACACAGGUGGGUUGGUAGAGUAUACCAAGGGGCGCGAGAUAACUCUCUCUAAGGAACUCGGCAAAAUGACCCCGUAACUUCGGGAGAAGGGGUGCCAAGUAACUUAAAUUGCUUGGUCGCAGUGACCAGGCCCUGGCGACUGUUUAUCAAAAACACAGGUCUCCGCAAAGUCGUAAGACAACAUAUGGGGGCUGACGCCUGCCCAGUGCCGGAAGGUUAAAGAAGUUGGUUAUUCAUUCGUGGAGAAGCUGACGACUGAAGCCCCGGUGAACGGCGGCCGUAACAAUAACGGUCCUAAGGUAGCGAAAUUCCUUGUCGGGUAAGUUCCGACCCGCACGAAAGGCGUAACGAUCAGGGCACUGUCUCGGAGAGAGACUCGGUGAAAUAGACAUGUCUGUGAAGAUGCGGACUACCUGCACCUGGACAGAAAGACCCUAUGAAGCUUGACUGUAGCUUGGAAUUGGGUUCGGGCUCUUCUUGCGCAGCCUAGGUGGGAGGCGUUGAAGGUUUUCUUUUGGGAAAGCUGGAGCCAUCAGUGAGAGACCACUCUGGAGGAGCUAGAAUUCUAAUGGCGUUCCUUGAAGCAGGACGCUUGACAGUUUCAGGUGGGCAGUUUGACUGGGGCGGUCACCUCCUAAAAGGUAACGGAGGUGUGCAAAGGUUCCCUCAGGCUGGACGGAAAUCAGCCGUAGAGUGUAAAGGCAGAAGGGAGCUUGACUGCAAGACCUACAAGUCGAGCAGGGGCGAAAGCCGGCCUUAGUGAUCCGACGGUUCCAUGUGGAAGGGCCGUCGCUCAACGGAUAAAAGUUACUCUAGGAUAACAGGCUGAUCUUCCCCAAGAGUUCACAUCGACGGGAAGGUUUGGCACCUCGAUGUCGGCUCAUCGCAACCUGGGGCGGUAGUACGUCCCAAGGGUUGGGCUGUUCGCCCAUGAAAGCGGUACGUGAGCUGGGUUCAGAACGUCGUGAGACAGUUCGGUCCAUAUCCGGUGUAGGCGUUAGAGCAUUGAGAGGAGUCUUCCAUAGUACGAGAGGACCUGGAAGAACACACCUCUGGUAUACCAGUUAUCAUGCCAAUGGUAAACGCUGGGUAGCUAUGUGUGGAGUGGAUAACCGCUGAAAGCAUCUAAGUGGGAAGCCCACCUCAAGAUGAGUGCUCUCUAUGAGGUCACAGGAAGACAACCUGUUUGAUAGGCAGAAGGUGUAAGGCUAGUAAUAGUUUCAGCUGAUCUGUACUAAUAGACCCAUUGAUUU
This 1348-nucleotide ribosomal RNA is filed under the name metagenome. RNAcentral's name for it is "bacterial LSU rRNA". It matches the Rfam family "Bacterial large subunit ribosomal RNA", at positions 1568 to 2925 of the family's 2925-position model. The record is from RNAcentral.